Molecule: ribosomal RNA, 406 nt
Filed under: uncultured bacterium
Lineage: Bacteria
Description: partial 16S ribosomal RNA
Rfam family: Bacterial small subunit ribosomal RNA
Source: RNAcentral
AUUGAACGCUGGCGGCAGGCCUAACACAUGCAAGUCGAGCGAGCGGCGGACGGGUGAGUAAUGUCUGGGAAACUGCCUGAUGGAGGGGGAUAACUACUGGAAACGGUAGCUAAUACCGCAUACCAUCAGAUGUGCCCAGAUGGGAUUAGCUGGUAGGUGGGGGAACGGCUCACCUAGGCGACGAUCCCUAGCUGGUCUGCGAGGAUGACCAGCAACACGGGAACUGAGACACGGUCCGGACUCCUACGGGAGGCAGCAGUGGGGAAUAGUGCAAAAUGGGCGCAAGCCUGAUGCAGCCAGGCCGCGUGUGGGAAGAAGGCUGUCGGGUGGUAAAGCACUGUCAGCGGGGAGGCGUUACCCGCAGAAGAAGCACCGGCUAACUCCGUGCCAGCAGCCGCGGUAAUUC